Molecule: ribosomal RNA, 259 nt
Filed under: Staphylococcus aureus
Lineage: Bacteria; Bacillati; Bacillota; Bacilli; Caryophanales; Staphylococcaceae
Description: partial 16S ribosomal RNA
Rfam family: Bacterial small subunit ribosomal RNA
Source: RNAcentral
UUUAUGGAGAGUUUGAUCCUGGCUCAGGAUGAACGCUGGCGGCGUGCCUAAUACAUGCAAGUCGAGCGAACGGACGAGAAGCUUGCUUCUCUGAUGUUAGCGGCGGACGGGUGAGUAACACGUGGAUAACCUACCUAUAAGACUGGGAUAACUUCGGGAAACCGUAGCUAAUACCGGAUAAUAUUUUGAACCGCAUGGUUCAAAAGUGAAAGACGGUCUUGCUGUCACUUAUAGAUGGAUCCGCGCUGCAUUAGCUAGU